ACAUCCCGAUCGCACUUUCUGGAAACAGAGAGGUCAGUUCGGCUGGAUCGGUGACAGGUGCUGCAUGGCUGUCGUCAGCUCGUGUCGUGAGAUGUUGGGUUAAGUCCGCAACGAGCGCAACCCUCGUCCUUAGUUGCCAGCAUUAAGUUGGGCACUCUAAGGAGACUGCCGGUGUUAAACCGGAGGAAGGCGGGGAUGACGUCAAGUCCUCAUGGCCCUUAUGUCCAGGGCUACACACGUGCUACAAUGGCCGGUACAAAGGGUAGCAAGACCGCGAGGUGGAGCCAAUCCCAAAAAGCCGGUCUCAGUUCGGAUUGGAGUCUGCAACUCGACUCCAUGAAGUUGGAAUCGCUAGUAAUCGUGGAUCAGCAUGCCACGGUGAAUACGUUCCCGGGCCUU
This 399-nucleotide ribosomal RNA is filed under the name uncultured Desulfuromonas sp. RNAcentral describes it as "bacterial SSU rRNA". It matches the Rfam family "Bacterial small subunit ribosomal RNA", at positions 984 to 1382 of the family's 1533-position model. The record is from RNAcentral. Lineage: Bacteria; Pseudomonadati; Thermodesulfobacteriota; Desulfuromonadia; Desulfuromonadales; Desulfuromonadaceae.